AGUCGUAACAAGGUUUCCGUAGGUGAACCUGCGGAAGGAUCAUUGUCGAGACCGAAAAAGAGGGAGCGAUCUAGAGAACUCGUAAAGAAAGCGGGAGCCAUCCCAACUGUUGCCGUAUCCCCCCCUUCGGGGGGGGCCGCUCGCGACGAGGAAGGUUGGAUGAAAACUCAAAAUCGGCGCAGUCUCGCGCCAAGGGAAAAUUUGCAAACGUAAGCCCUACAGCGGGCUUAGCGGUGUGGAGUGUUGUUACACGCACCAUACCAUAUGGAGAUCAUAACAUGACUCUCGGCAAUGGAUAUCUCGGCUCUCGCAUCGAUGAAGAGCGCAGCGAAAUGCGAUACAUGGUGCGAAUUGCAGAAUCCCGUGAACCAUCGAGUCUUUGAACGCAAGUUGCGCCUGAGGCCAAUCGGCCGAGGGCACGUCCGCCUGGGCGUCAAGCAUCGCAUCGCUCCAUGCUGACGCCAUCCCAUCGAAGGGUGUGUUGGCGCGAGGCCUGGAUGUGUAGAGUGGCCCGCCGUUCUCCAUCGGUGCGUGCGGCGGGCUGAAGAGCGGGCUUUCGUCUCAUCGGCCACACUUGACGAUGGGUGGAGAAAAGCUAUGAGCAUGACCUACAUCGCCUCGUGCUGGCUGGAGGAAAGCUUAGAGUAUCCUAACUCAAGCGUCGCACUGUUGGCGACGGCUUCGAAUGCGACCCCAGGAUGGGCGGGGCCACCCGUCGAGUUUAAGCAUA
RNAcentral lists this ribosomal RNA (730 nucleotides) under Elleanthus caravata. RNAcentral describes it as "eukaryotic LSU rRNA". The stretch from base 281 to 436 matches the Rfam family "5.8S ribosomal RNA". The record is from RNAcentral. Lineage: Eukaryota; Viridiplantae; Streptophyta; Magnoliopsida; Asparagales; Orchidaceae.